UGAGAAUAUGUAAAAACUAAAACUGCUACUCCUGUCCAAAUUCAAAAGAAAGAACCACCUCUGAUACAUCCAACUACUCUUCAGCUUCAAUUUCUUUGGCCUCUUACUCCUCUUCUUCAUCACUGGCUUCACCGUCCCUUAACUUCUGCCUCUCCAAUUUUUCUUCAUCUUGCAACCGUUUCCACUCAUUGACCCAUUUGUCCCAUUCAUCCUUCAACAUUCUCCUCUUUUCGCGAUCCUGCUCACUCAAUUGCAGUGAAAAAAUCUUGGUCUUCUGCCUCGUACUUCUUUCUAUAUUUCUUCAAAUUGUUAGCUAUGUCUUCCUCCUUUUCAGGACUCAAACAUCUUGUGCCUUACAUUAGAUACAUGCUGGAAAUAAUGCUAUGGAUUUAUUACUUGUAGCCAGAUUUCUAUCUGUUCCGAGAUCCAUUGUUCAUACAAUUCAACUUCUAAAUUCAUGGAAAAAGUGAAUAAAGCAUGCAUCCAAAUCAAAUUUUGAAUAAAGCAUGCAGUUUGUGUUUGUGGUGUGCAGCAUGUUUAAUUCUAACUUCUCACUCAUUCCUUGUCUACGAAAUUAAUUUAGCAUGUUGAUUUGUUCCUUUUUUUUUUUUGUUUCGGUGUGAACAAGCACGCAUGAAAUGACAAUUAAACAUUAAACAUAUAAAUUACGUUCCACGGUUGAAUUCAUCUGUCCCAUUGAAUGUUUGGAAGGUUUGGUUUUCAGUUGAAUAUAGAAGCUUAUGUCUGUAACGAAGUAGACAUCACAUAUCAACCGAAGAUUUCAUUGUCAAUUUUAGCAUUUCAAAAUCCAUGUUCAGAUUCAUCAUUUUGAUACCACACAGUAACUUGUCUCGAGAAAUUCAAAAUCUACAAAUCUCACCUCUUAUCCAGUCAUCCUAACAUUUUAAAAAAAGAAAAACCAAAAAAAAAAAAAAAAAAACAGAAGUGAAAAAAGGGGACGUCACAACUAAAUCUACCAACCUGUUGGUGGGCGAAAUGACAGGCUAAAUCCAGCUUAUUGUUAAUGUUUGCAUAGACUGAAUAAAGGCGCAAAGGCUUCCUUCUAAGCUGCGACAAACACAAAUUAGACACGUAUAUGGUUCCACAACGACAACAAACACCAUAGUAACAACAAACUUCAAGAAAUUAAUAAACAUUUUAGUAAUAUUUAAUAAAAUGUUCCAACUUCCAAGGCACUUUAAAUAGUACAAACUCAAAAUGCCAAAAUAAUCUACCAGGCUAUUGCCUAUUGGAAAAAUAAACAAGCUAACCCCUGCUUGAGCUUACAGUUAAACUUGCAUAAAUUGAAUAGAAUGAAGGGAGCCACAAUAAGUAACAGAAGAACUAUAAGAAAGGCGAUAUACUUAUCCGGCAAACAAAAUUUAAGAAAUUGAUACAGAUCAACAGAGGAGUCAGAUCAGGAAAAGCAUCAACCAUAAGUUCCUAAAACAAAUUCAACCACUGAAACUACAAAUAUCCAACCCGUAGCCAAGCUUUUUGCGUAUCUGCACAACUUCACGCAUCCAAGUUGGUUGCAUUGAACGUAUGAACUCUGGGAAUAUAUAAAAACUAAUAGUCCUUACUCCUGUCCAAAUUCAAACGAAAGUGUCUCUUCUGACACAUCCAACAACUCUUCAACUUCAAUUUCUUUGGCCUCGUACUCCUCUUCUUCAUCACUGGCUUCACCGUCCCUUAUCUUCUGCCUCUCCCAUUUUUCUUCCUCUUGCAACCGGUUCCACUCAUUGACCCAUUUGUCCCAUUCAUCCUUCAACAUUCUCCUCUUUUCACGAUCCUGCUCACUCAAUUGCAAUGAAACAUCUUGGUCUUCCGCCUCGUACUUCUUACUAUAUUUCUUCAAAUUGUUAGCUAUCUCUUCCUCCUUUUCAGGACUCAAGAAGGACGGAGGCCUUGGGCGCCACAAGAACUGGAAAUUAUAUAAAACAGAAAGUGAUGCCAAAGUGGUGAUUGCAUUAAAUAGCACUAAGCCCAAACAAAGGAAAGGAAACAAACGUAAAGAAAAUGAGAAAAGUCGAUUAUACUUCAUGAUUCAACACGCAAGAAAAAUGUCAAUCCAUUUUUAGCAAGACGACCAUAUAAUAUUUGCCUUGAUAAAACUGCCACUUUGGUUCCAAAAUAAUAUAUUAAUGCUGCCAAGAUACUUCAAAGUUCAAACUAGCAAACUGUGCAUAGUUAGUUACUAACAUUAUCGCAAGGAUUCAGGAAUUAAAUACCACUUUGUACUGACACUAUCUCAGUCACGUAACCUAGAACAGCUCCAAUAGAUGCAUAGCACAAGUGGAAAUAUCCAAAAUACCAGUAACAUCUUCAAGCAAAUGAAAUGCCAACUAAUCAAGAAUAACAAAUGCCAUCAAAUUCCACAUUCAAACAUUACAAUUAAACUUUCA
This 2405-nucleotide long non-coding RNA is filed under the name Jatropha curcas. Its description in RNAcentral is "long non-coding RNA (JCUR_LNC001830)". The record is from RNAcentral. Lineage: Eukaryota; Viridiplantae; Streptophyta; Magnoliopsida; Malpighiales; Euphorbiaceae.